AUGCAUUUUAUAAACAGUUUGCAUUUUGUUGUUGUCUUGGUAACAUUUAAAAUCGGAAAUAAUUUUGGGAAAACUUUUUGCUCUUCAAACGCUAAGGAUCUGUAAAUAAAUGUACGUAAAUCAGAUGUCACAUCACAGAAAUCGGCAAACGGCAUUUAAUCAACAGUUUGCUUGGGUGCAUAUAUUUGUGUAAGUGUUCUUGUAUAUGUUUAUAUGGCAAAUUGCAUAGCAUGUGUUAUAAGCCUCUUCUUCUACUCUCUUCAUGUUUUUCUUAAAUCAUUUAUUAGUUUUUCUUAAGCCUUCAAAGUGCAUCUUAAAAAGAAAAAAAGAAAGAAAGAAAAAAAAAAAAAAAUAAAUAAAACAAAAAAGUAGAAAAUCCGGUGAAGAUAGAACAAGCAUAAAAAUCCAGUCAAGGAAGAGUUUACAUAUAAACACACAUAACAGAACCUUAAACCAUGUGAACGAAUGAGCCGAGACAUCUAAGCAGCAAUAACAACGUUGUUACAUUAAGAAUUAAAGAAAAAGCCUACGAAAGGCAUAUGUGAAGAGAAAAGUCAGCAUUUUACUGGUGAAGAAGCCAAUUGCUUUUGAAAAAAUGUUUUACAAAAAUUAAAACUACAAAAAAAAAAAGAAAAAAAUUUCUUAAGUUAAUUUUAAAAAUUAAUUUUUUUUUUUUUUUUUUGGCUUUUAUGUUAUGAGUUAUGAGUGAUGAUAAAAAUCGAGGAAAAAAUUGUUGAAAUAUUUAAACCCAUCUUUGGUCUAUUGUGUGUGUGUGUGAAUGUAUUCCGGGAAAAUAUAAAUUAAUUUCCUUGAAAAUUUUAUUCUGCGUAUGCCGUUCUAUCUGUACUUGUUGUGCACACACUAUCGUAUAGUGCGUAAUCCAAUUUACACGAAGGUUUCCGAAAUUCUAGUACCGUGUUAGAAGGAAGCCUUGUUAAUAAGAUAAAUUAUACAUACAUAUAUACAUAUAUAGAUACAUAGAUAUGUAAAAAAAGAAACGCACUCGGUUUACAUGCAGUUCGUUCUUGUGUACAAUUGCAAAAAAAAAAAAAAAGAAAAAAUAUUGCAAUGCGCCCCAUCGCCAAACUCGCUCUUAGCCCACCACCGUUCACUUUUUUCUUUUGAAUUACAAAUCAAUAAAAAUUGGAUUAUUUCUAUACAUAUUUUGUUGUUGCGUCUUUCACAUAAAUAAAUAUCCAGUAGUGGUACUUAUACCUUUACAAUCAAUCACACCCGCCUCCGCACUGCUCUCAAUACUCGGCUAUUGUUCAACUACUGUUUAGUUGUGUGUGUGUGUGUUCUUUUUUUUGUCUUCAGCUUUUUUAUUAUUGAAGAAAUAUCUUGCAAAAAAAAAAAAAAGAGAAGAAAACAGGAGGAAUCUAAAAAACUGUGUUAAGAUUGAAACAUAAAUUACUUACGUAUGAGACAAUCUGUUGAAAUAUCAACGCUUAUAAAAUAAGUGGCGUAACAUCUUAGAGAGGUAAGUGGGAUUGACAGUCAGAUUAAAUUAGAUUAGCUUUACGGCAAUUAAAGAAAUAUACAUUACAAAAACAAAAAAAAAAAGCGCUCGCUUGUCUAUCAAUUAGACUAAAAAAGACUAUCUUAGAAGAUUUGAAAAAAUUUUUUAAAAAACCUAAACAUUUCUGUGUGAAAAGUCUUUGAGUGUAUAGUAACCUAAGAAAGGUGACUUCAUUUUUUUUUUUUUUUUUUUUUUGAAUGGAAGAAAGUUAAUAGAAUAAUAAUAACAUUUUUGAGUAUUUUUCUAAGUACAAAUUACGAGAAAUUGUCUUUGAACAGGUAAGAGCACCAUAGGGGACAAGGCCCGCCAUUAAAUUCCUUAUAUCGUAGUAUGGGUAUUCAGGUAACAGGUUUUUGAAAAGGAGGCGUAGGAUGGAAAGUGAUUGUCGAAAACGCGGUCUGAUCCGAUCUACUCGAAGCUGCGUUCGUGUACCAAGUCUCUUCAAAUUGUCGCACAAAUUGCGGCCUGUACAUUGAAUACAAGAAAACCAGGCGGACACAAGAUGAGCAAAGGAAAUCACAUGUGAUUCAGAAAGUGAAUCUGAAUCGAUCGGUGUAACAAGAGCUGGGUCUUUCUCAACUCCUUCUAGACGUUGUGUAUAUGCGCAUAAAAUGCACACACACUUGCACCACAAGUAGAAUAUAACAACGCUGCUCUCUUUCGCGCAAGGGAUUUUUACGGCCCAUAAAGUAGCUCAUGAAAAUUUUAAUGUAAAAAAAAAA
This is a long non-coding RNA of Glossina fuscipes, 2241 nucleotides long. RefSeq lists it as uncharacterized. The record is from RefSeq and is a predicted model, not a curated record. Lineage: Eukaryota; Metazoa; Arthropoda; Insecta; Diptera; Glossinidae. The transcript is spliced from 5 exons.